Molecule: ribosomal RNA, 460 nt
Filed under: uncultured bacterium
Lineage: Bacteria
Description: bacterial SSU rRNA
Rfam family: Bacterial small subunit ribosomal RNA
Source: RNAcentral
AUUGAACGCUGGCGGCGUGCUUAACACAUGCAAGUCGAACGCGAAAGGGACUUCGGUCCUGAGUAAAGUGGCGCACGGUGAGUAACGCGUGGAUAAUCUGCCCUUAUGAUUGGAAUAACAGUUGGAAACGGCUGCUAAUACCGGAUACGCUCAAAAUGAACUUUUUGAGGAAAGAUGGCCUCUGCUUGCAUGCUAUCGCAUAAGGAUGAGUCCGCGUCCCAUUAGCUUGUUGGCGGGGUAACGGCCCACCAAGGCAACGAUGGGUAGCCGAUUUGAGAGGAUGAUCGGCCACACUGGAACUGAAACACGGUCCAGACUCCUGCGGGAGCAGCAGUGGGGAAUAUUGCGCAAUGGGCGAAAGCCUGACGCAGCGACGCCGCGUGAGGGAUGAAGGUUUUCGGAUCGGAAACCUCUAGUCAGAAGGAAGAAACUACGUUGUGCUAAUCAGCAGCGUACUGAC